Molecule: ribosomal RNA, 20 nt
Filed under: Platymiscium filipes
Lineage: Eukaryota; Viridiplantae; Streptophyta; Magnoliopsida; Fabales; Fabaceae
Description: partial 28S ribosomal RNA
Source: RNAcentral
GCGACCCUAGGUCAGGCAAG